ACCAUCUUCCCCCUCACAAUAGCUCUUUAAACUGCUCUCUCAACUUUGUUAGCCUGUUUCAAUGCAAUCGUGUCGUCUCGUCCUCUACUCAUCACUUCAAAAACAAAAACAAAAAAACAGACAAAAUAAACUACAUAACUUUCUAAAAAUCCGAAAAUCUACACGACUUUCCCGAAUAUUUUGAAAAAAUCUGGUUAACAUCUUCAACAUUUU
Molecule: long non-coding RNA, 213 nt
Filed under: Lathyrus oleraceus (garden pea)
Lineage: Eukaryota; Viridiplantae; Streptophyta; Magnoliopsida; Fabales; Fabaceae
Description: Pisum sativum (pea) long non-coding RNA (PSAT_LNC035192)
Source: RNAcentral